RNAcentral lists this non-coding RNA (179 nucleotides) under Eubacterium sp. RNAcentral's name for it is "6S RNA". It matches the Rfam family "6S / SsrS RNA". Rfam says of the family: E. coli 6S RNA was the first non coding RNA to be sequenced, but its function was unknown until recently. The record is from RNAcentral. Lineage: Bacteria; Bacillati; Bacillota; Clostridia; Eubacteriales; Eubacteriaceae.
AUUUACCUGAGGUGUUCGAUAACCUGCUAUUUUGAACCUACAUUUUCUUUUACGGGAUUCCAAUAUUUUGGGGUAGAUGUCAGGCCAUCAUUACGCAGUGGAAGGCAGAAGCUCCAUUGAGGUUACCCACCUAGCUUUGCUAGGAGUCAAAAUUGUGGGACCGGCAUUUUGGGGAUACU